Molecule: long non-coding RNA, 3791 nt
Filed under: Phaseolus vulgaris (common bean)
Lineage: Eukaryota; Viridiplantae; Streptophyta; Magnoliopsida; Fabales; Fabaceae
Description: long non-coding RNA (PVUL_LNC002384)
Source: RNAcentral
CUCACAAUACUUAUUUUCUAGAUCCGGCUGUGGUAUAUAACAGGUUUAUUUUCUAGAAUGAGAACAGAUGUUGAUCAAAUUAAUUUCCUUUUUCAUUUUCACAAAUUUUGAAGGUAUGCACUUUCACGAGGCCACUUUUAAUUUUUUUUAAAUACAUGAAUACAAUUUUUUCUUUUCUUUGAAAGCUAUUAUGCAAAUCCUUAAUAAUCUAUUGCGAUUGAAUAUGAAAAAAGAGUUGAGAAAUGAAGUGGCAAAACAGAACAAUUUUUUUUUUACUUUUCCCCAUGCUCGUGAAUUCUCUGAUGAAAAUAAACUCAUGCGUAUAGUAAGUUUAAAAACAAAUCACAAAAUUGCUCACAGUUUAGCAACUGAAUACUCCAAGAAAGAAACAUAAAAAACCAUAUAUAUGAAAGGUGACACAGAUACUAGAGAAAAAGUUGAAGAUCAUCAGGAAUAAAAACUUUGAAAGUGAGAAAAUUAAAAUGAACAGACCUUAUCAGUAGCAGAAGCAUGAUGAGAUGCAGCAGCCUCUGUAGCCAUGAUGGGAAAUUGAAGCUGAUGGCCCUGAGAGUGUUUAGAGAAGUUCAGGUGGAGAAAGAAAUAAAGAAAGUAAGUGGUGAGAGGAAUAAUUUGGUUGGCAACAACUCCAGGAAAAGAAGGAAAGCCAGUUCAACUUUAGGAAGAAGAACAACUAGUUUUGCACAGAAAAAAGCAGAAACAUAGAUGUUUGACAGACUGUAUCACAUGAGCUGGUAUGGUGGUCUCAAUGAUUUAGGAGGAUUAGGAUUAAGGUGGCACUAAAGUUUUCCCAUUAAAAACAAAAAAGUAUAAAAUAAAAAAAGUUGAUCACAUAGCUGUGAGCUGUGGCAAAGUAACUAGCUUUAUUGGGGACCAGAUCAGCGGCAACAAACUCAUACAUUUAACUCUCAAAAUGUUUGGGCCCUCUCCUCAAUCCUUGUGGUUAAUAAGAUUCCUCUACGUCAUUAACCUUAAUUAAAUUUCAUCUACAAAUUAUGGAAACCAUAAAUGAACACUCUCAUGUAUCUUAAGGAUCCACCACUAGUUAUAAUAUCCUGCAAUUUGUUUCUUUUAAAUUAAUAAACUUCCUUUUUUGUCAGUUUUGUUGAAGCAGUUUCUCUUAUUCAUUCAUAAUUGUAUACAAACAAACAAUGAUCAAGAGAAUUAUAAUAUACAAAUAUAAAUAGUUGUCACAUUGAAAUAUCAUGAUAUUUGCUAAAUAAUUAUGUUCACUUUGGUCAUGAUUAUUAUUUGGAUACCCUUCUACUUUGUUUUUAUUAAGGAAAACUAUCAUACUAAUUCGCUUAAAAAUGAUGAAAUAGAUAAGCUCAUGAUUUGAGGUCGUGUUUUCUUCCACGUUAGGAUAAUAAAUUUGCUUAAGUUUUCAAACUUGGAUUAAGACGUACCAUUUCCAUGAAAAUGAUGCUGCCUCAUGUCACUUUAUUGGUGUUCGCAUGUUAUGCAUUAUAGGGUAUACCCCCCUAUUCCCCCUCUUUUCAUUCGAACUUCUCUCCAUCCUUUUCAAUUUUUUUAUUAAUAUUAAAUAAUUUUCAUGAACUUUAUACGAAUCAUACUUUCCGAAGGGCAAUGUGAAUUAAUUGUUGCAUCCAAUAAAUCCAGAUUGACCAAACAUCCCCCAAAAAUUGAUGAUUAAGAAUAUAAAAAUAGAAGAAAAAAAAGAGCAUAACAAAUACAUUAUCACAAGGUUAGAAAAUACUAACAAAUACACAAGGUUUCACAGUAUGUAAAUAAAAAAAAGUAGUUAAAAAAAGUUACAUUAUCACAGAUGAAUUAAUGCUUCGUACUUUUAUAAUAUGAUUAUCAGAAAAAAGCAUUUAAAAAUAUAUUUAUACUACAGAUUUGGUUUUGGAUUGAACAAUGAAAUACUUUUCUUGCUUGAGAAGUGUUUUGAUGAAACUGAAAACCUUAAGAUACUUUCCAUUUUGUUAGUUUAACAUUAAUUAUAAUGGUUUUAGCCAACAAAUCCAACCUUUUUCCAUGAUAUGUUUUUGGUUCUUUCAGCCUUAAUAUCCUAAUAAUCUUUUGAAUCUCUAAAGGAAAAUGAGUGUUCUGAGGUGACAAGUAUCAUGAGUCAUUAGUCAUGACAGCUGCCACAGCCCUCUUUUUAAAGAUAGAAGACUAGUGUGCAAGAGAUUUGUUGAAAAAAUUAUGACUUCUCAAUUCCACAAAAAUGCAAAGAAGCCCACCUUCUUUAUCUAUUGAGCUGGUUCUCCUUCACAUGUCCCCCCAUCUUUGGAAUCUUCCAUUUGUGAAUUCGCGCAGUGUAAGACCCAAGGUGGUCCUUCAACACUUAAGCCUGUGAUUUUCUUGAAUUAAUUACAACAGAGAAAAUAAAUCUUGCUUAUGAAGAUGAUGCUGUUUUUUCUCUGUCCAGGUUAACUAUAGCGGACAUUAUGGGCAGGAACAUUCAUGCUUGAAAGGUAUUGAUUAGGUGGAAAUUUAUAGAGACCCAACUUGACCAUUGGUUGUCUCCAAAAGAAAAAACGACUCCUCCACACAGAAAAGGAAAUUAACAAUUCGUUUAAAGUAGACAAGAUUUUUGUUUGUCCUUUCAUUCGAGUUUAUAAUGUUUUUUCGUUUCUGAUAUUUUCGGCAUCUAGAAGUCACAUUCGAUAAAAAUAUUGUUAAUGGAUUUCAUCUAAGAAAUAAUUAAGGUAGACUCGUUUAUGAUUAUAUCUUUCAUUCACAAGGGAUUCGUAUCUAUAUAUGAAAGGCUUUGUUAUAGUUAAGGAAAACUUUAAAGUUGCCUAGUACUUGAACUAUAACAUGUGUUGGCUUUAAUUUUAUGUGUACUUCAUAAGUUUGGUGUUUGUUACUAAAACUAAAGCUUUUUACACAACCAAAUAAUUAAACUUUUCUCCUUUUUCCAUGGAGAAUGCCAACGAUACAUUUUCUUUCCCUUUUCCUUUUGGACUCGCUUGAGUUGCUUCUAAAUAUGCCUAUGAGUAUGAGUGGCUUGUGUCAAUCCCUCGCAGAUUUCAGUUCGGUGAAGUUGACAGAUAUUGGUGGAGCAGAAGUUACGAAAACGAUGUUACAGAAGUAGGUUAGGGCAUGGAUGAGAGAUGAAGGUGUGUUGCAGUAAAGUGUUUGACAGGAGUGGUGGUGGAGAUUGGUGAAGUGAAGAUGUGCAACCAAAUGGGGUCACUCUUACUUAAGGUUCAUUAAUCCACAGCUUUGUAAGGCAGCUGAAGAAGUAGAUCUUGCUUUAAUGUGCAUCAGCAUGUUAGUUAAAUUGAGAAACCCAUGUUAGUGGUAGUGCAUGAGAUUGGUAAGUUUUGGUGGUCUUGUUUUCAUCUAUAAAUGAAAGAGGAAAAAAAUAUUUUGGUUUUCUUUGUUAGAUUUUGAAAAUUUGUUUAUUAUAGGUUGCAGCUUGCAUGCAUGUGAGUGAGGGUGCUUAGAGAGAGGAAUGAUUCAGUUUGCCACACCUGCACCUUUGUCUUCUUGCGCAGCCUAUUACAAUUCUGCAUGAUGUCAGCUACAGCGCCUAACAGGCUGCAUUAAAUCAUAUUCUUGCUCCAACUCCAAACACAAACCACAUCUUUUGUAUAUCAUGAUCCAAGUUGAGAUAUUAUAGAAAUAAAUAUAUGUCUUUUGCCAUUCGUUUUAAUUUAUUUCUUUUUUCUUUAGAAAGUUUUAUAUGAUGGGGAGCUUUUAGUUUGGGCCCAUGUGGUUAUUUCUUCAGUUUAAAUCAUAUAUAAAUUGUCAAGAUCAUGUUACGUAUUUGCUUUUAUUUUCAGACAAAUAUAUAGUAC